Ovis aries (sheep) is the source of this 72-nucleotide transfer RNA. It matches the Rfam family "tRNA". From Rfam's summary of the family: Transfer RNA (tRNA) molecules are approximately 80 nucleotides in length. Their secondary structure includes four short double-helical elements and three loops (D, anti-codon, and T loops). The record is from Rfam. NCBI's taxonomy places the organism in Eukaryota, Metazoa, Chordata, Mammalia, Artiodactyla, Bovidae.
UCCUGGGUGUCUCAGAUGGUAAAGAAUCUGCCUGCAAUGCAGGAGAUCCAGGUUCAAUCCCUGGGUUAGGAA